GAACUACACAUUUUAUCAACAGAAAACCAAAAGCGUUCACAAAGAUCCGUACCCCCUACAGAUCCGGAUUGAAGUUUGUUUCACAACAUCUCAGUCAGAAGAAGAUGACGACUCCUCGGCGGCGAGUUUUUCAAGGGCUUUUUGAUGUGCCCAAGUCUCGAUAGUGAGAUCGGGCUUGGCGUUGAGACCGACACCUAGGAUAACGAUGGUGAGGAAGCUCGUGACGUAGCAAGGCAACUCCCAAUCUUCCCAUUUACGGGAUUGACCUGGUGGUGGUGGUGUCCUAUUGAAGAGGUAACCAUUGGGCCGUUCUUGGUGACCCGGCGUCGUCCACCGGCUUGGACCGUCGUGGGAGGAGAAGGACCGGAAGAAAAGUCGACGGCGGAGCAUGUUGGUCAAAGCCAUCGUGGAGGCCUAGCCUUGAAAGAUCAAGGAUAAAGUUGGGGGACUCGUUUUAGGGAUUUUAUUUGGUUAGUUAUUUACUUAGCUUCCUGAUAGUGAGAAAUGCUCUCUACACGACAUCGUUUAGAGUUUGGCCUAAGCCAAAAUAAAAAUGUAAAUGCUCCAUUUAUUAUUAAAUGAAUGAAUUAAAUUUAUGUAAUAUUCAAAAUAUGAAAAAAAUCAAAAUUCAACAGAUUUACAUAGCUAUAUUUUUUAAAAAUUUUAUUAUCCUGAAAUAUUUUGAUUUAUAUAAUAAAUAAUAUUUUUCAUGUCACUUUUAAAAUAAUAAAUGUUAACUAUAUUUAAGUGAUUAUUUUUAAUAGUAUCGAUGAAAUUAAUCCAUUUAAUAAUAAAUGGUAUACCCACUCAAAGGUAAAAAAGAAUGUAAAUGUAAAGAAUUUACAUGAUCAAAUGCUUCAAACUUCUUCACUUGUUGACAAUAUAAGAAGGAUGUUGAGUACGAUUUUGCAACUAAUUGAGCUAGGUCACGCCUUAUGAAUCGGGAUUUUACUUUGCUAUAUAUUCGAAAGUAUUGAGCUCCAAUAUCUUUGCUUCAUAGUUUAGCUUCUUCUUUUUCUGUCUUCCAUAACAAAAUCAUUUAUUCUUUUUUAAAUUCAUAAUCUUUUAAGAAAGCAUCGCAAACACUGCCAAAACUUCAUGUGCAGAUUGGCACUCAAACAGUAUAUAGAUCUAGUUUGGGUUAUUGAUACUAUCGAAUUGGAUCGGCCGAGGGAGUAUAGCACGGUCCUUAGCACCAUGGUGUUAGAGCAUAACCUAACUGAUAGAAUCACUUAAACUGAAAACCAAUAUGUUUGGUCCGAUAGCUAUCCUCAAACCAACAAAGGGAUGGGGUAACAAGGAAGAAAGUAGGUGGUAGUGCGGAAUGAGGAGAUGAUCGUUUUCAUUUCAUUGAUUGAACCUAUAUCCGAACAAGAAUACAAGGAUGGAAAAUCCUCUGCAACGUAUUCCCCUACUCCUAAAUUCUCAAUCACAAUUCUAUCAAGUAAAGUAGUCUUUUCCUCCGUACCAUACAUGUCAAACACAAGUAUGUUCAAAAUUCUCUGAGAUUUCCAUUUAUUUAAAGGAUCAUAUUCUUAUUCCCAUGCCACAUAUAGGAUGGAUACGAGUACUCCAAAAACCGAAGAAUCGAAGCUAUCACAAUCCUAUCGGUCAAUAAUCCUUCAUUAUACUAACUACUAAAUGCUCAACACUAAUGUAUGGCCCUUCACAUAUAACAAUAACAUAAAUCAUUCCUUUUUUUUUUCUCCUUUGUACCAUAAGCUUCAUUGAUAAAAACCAAGUAGAAUACAACUUACAUAUUGCCUCAAUAAACUAAAUAGUAAUAAUACCUAAAAAGAGAUCCCAUCCCAACAGCCGUAAGGGGUCAACUGAUAACCCGUCUUUCCCUAAUACUGUCCUUGCGUAACUUCUAACAUUCGGAACCUUUACGGAUAUGCCAUAUUCAUUUACUCCAUAAUACUACCUCUAGUCAAAUGUGGGUUCUUAAUUUACUAAAGAACUGAUAUUUUCUUCAAACCUAUUGAAAGGACCAACAAGUUAAGCACUAGAGUGAACUAGCUAGAGAACAGUUUUUCUAAGAUAUUCCAUGUCUGUAAUGAUAGCAUUAGGGCAUAAGCAUAUCAAUAAACCCAAUUUAUUCCCAAAUUCUUCUGAACAUCCAUUGAAACUCAAUAAGUAAAUAUUAGAUUAUGCAUAAAAACAAGCUAAUGACUUCAUCAUAGUCAUCGAAAGCAUAAAUCAAAUUAAAAAACCCAUAAUAUUUCAACAACUACAAACCCUUUGAACAACACAUUUAUCAACAGAAAAUACAACCUACCAAAAGGACCAGCAAGUUAAGCACAAAACUAACUACAACACAAUUCUUCUAAGAUAUUCCAUAUUUAUAGGGAUAGCUUUAGGGCACUAGCAUAUCAACGUAUUGCAAAUAAACCCAACUUAUUUUCAAAUUCUUCUGAACAUCAAUCGAAACUUGAUAAGUAAAUAUCAGAUUAUGAACAGAAACAAGCUAAUGAAUUCAUUAUCGUCAUUGAAAGCAUAAAUCCAAUUAAAAACACAUAAAAUUUCAACAACUACAAGCCCUUUGAACAAUACAUUUAUCAACAGAAAAUAGAACCUACCGAAAGGACCAGCAAGUUAAACACUAAAUUAACUACAGACAAUUCUUCUAAGAUAUUCCAUUUUUGUAAGGAUAGCAUUAAGGCACUAGCAUAUCAAUACAUUGCAAAUAAACCCAACUUAUUUUCAAAUUCUUCUGAACAUUAGAUUAUGAUCAGAAACAAGCCAAUGAUUUCUUCAUCAUCGAAUGCGUAACUCCAACUAAAAAAAGCCAUAAAAAUUUAACUACAGAUCCUUCACCCGUUACAAAAAAAAAAAAUACCCCAAUUUUUGUUUAAACAGCACAUUUUAUAAACAGCAAAGAACUGAGAUUUUCUUAGAAACUAUCCAAAAGGACCAGAAAGUUAAGCCCUAAACUAACUACUGUACCAUUUUUCUAUGAAAUUCCAUAUUUAUAAGGAUAAUUUUAGGGCAAUGGCAUAUCAAUACAGGAUCAAUAAACCUAAUUUAUUUUCAAAAUCUUUUGAACAUCCAUUGAAACUCGAUAAGUAAAUAUUAGACAACGAUCCCAAUAAGCCAACGACUUCAUCAUCAUCAUCGAAAACGUAAAAUUAAAAACCCAUAAAAUUUCAACAACUACAAGCGUUAAAAAAAAAAAAAGAACCCGUCUUUUUAUUCGAACUACACAUUGAAAUCAAAAGCGUUCGCAAAGAUCCGUACCCCAGAUCCCUUUGCUUCAAAACAUCUCAGUCAGAAGAAGAUGACGGCGACUCGGCGGCGAGUUUUUCAAGGGCUUUUUGAUGUGCCCAAGUCUCGAUAGUGAGAUCGGGCUUGGCGUUGAGACCAACACCGAGGAUGACGAUGGUGAGGAAGCUCGUGACGUAGCAAGGCAACUCCCAAUCUUCCCAUUUACGGGAUUGGCCUGGAGGUGGUGGGGUCCUGUUGAAGAGGUAACCAUUGGGUCGUUCCUGGUGACCGGGCGUCGUCCACCGGCUUGGACCUUCAUGGGAGGAGAAAGCCCGGGAGAAGAGUCGGCGGCGGAGCAUGGUGGUCAAGGCCAUCGUGGUAGUGGUGGUGGUG
This 3597-nucleotide long non-coding RNA is filed under the name Gossypium raimondii (Peruvian cotton). Its description in RNAcentral is "long non-coding RNA (GRAI_LNC005998)". The record is from RNAcentral. Lineage: Eukaryota; Viridiplantae; Streptophyta; Magnoliopsida; Malvales; Malvaceae.